Triticum dicoccoides is the source of this 324-nucleotide long non-coding RNA. RefSeq lists it as uncharacterized. NCBI's taxonomy places the organism in Eukaryota, Viridiplantae, Streptophyta, Magnoliopsida, Poales, Poaceae. The record is from RefSeq and is a predicted model, not a curated record. The transcript has 3 exons.
CGAAGAACAGGUGUACCCUAGGAGGCUUACAUCAGGCGGGUAUGAACACGGAAACUGCACGCGAUUUCAAAUGGAUGCUCUUUUGACCAUGGUCUGCAAAAUUGCAACACAAAGGGGGUGACAGCAUGAAGGAUGACGCAUGCUGACAUAAUAUAAUGCAGGAUUUGCAAGAAGUGGAUGGCCAGUCCCCAGGAUCUCAUCACAGGCUUACAAGGAGGGCUUUGACCAAGUUCUCUAUCGACCAUCCAUCCAGAUUCGUUCAUCAUUGAUGGCGAGGCUUCUUUAGGUGGCGUGCCAGUGUCACCGGUGAUCGAUGCCGUGGCG